This is a non-coding RNA of Leptonychotes weddellii (Weddell seal), 1464 nucleotides long. The record is from RefSeq and is a predicted model, not a curated record. Lineage: Eukaryota; Metazoa; Chordata; Mammalia; Carnivora; Phocidae.
GCAGGCGCUCAAGGUCCUGAGAACCGCCGAGUUCGCGCCGUUCGUUGUUUUCAUCGCCGCGCCCACCAUCACUCCGGGUCUGAACGAGGAUGAGUCUCUCCAGCGCCUGCAGAAGGAGUCCGAUAUCCUACAGAGAACAUACGCACACUACUUCGAUCUCACAAUUAUCAACAAUGAAAUUGAUGAGACAAUCAGACAUCUGGAGGAAGCCGUUGAGCUCGUGUGCACAGCCCCGCAGUGGGUCCCGGUCUCCUGGGUCUAUUAGGCCUCUCCCCAGCUAGCUACCUGAUGCCUACCUGGGAGCCACCUCAUCCGUGGAAAAGCCUCUUUGUUAUCGGCCUUGUGUCAGCAGGUCAUGGUCCCUAGAGACUACCUAGUUGUAGUGUGACCUCCAUUUAUAAUUAUUGUCAUGUCUGAAUAGAUAGGAGGAGAAAAACAAUUACACACUAAUUUAAAGAGACAGUAUCUUUUUUAAUCAGUUCUCCUAAACUUUAAUAAAAUGUAUCUUUAAAUGUAUGUAUUAUUCAAUCCUUUGGAAUGUUAUAUUUUUGGAAAUCAUAGCUUUUUAUUUCCAAGGCCCCUAAAAACUGCACAAAAUAGAUGCUGCUUUCUAUAAUCUAUUUUAAUAAUAAACAAUGAUUCUGUUACCUUGACUGGGGGUGGAACACUACAUUCUUUUUAGAGUCUGAUUUUAUGGAUUGGAAUAGCUUUCUUUCCUUUAUUUAUUUGAAAUAAUCAGUCUAGUGAUUACAAAACAGUCAUAAAUUUUUAAAGGCCUUUUUUCUUUUUUUUUUUAGACUAGUUUUUUUUUUUUUAAGUCCUUUAUGUAACAUCCAGAUAAUGUGAUACUGUCUCUUUGAAGCACCCUGUAAACCUUUUAGAGAUUUGAAGUUGGGUCUUGACUCUUAAUGCAUGUGGACAGUCGCGAGCGUUUAUGCUGUCGGUGUGUCUGUGUUGGACAAAACAAUCUGUAAUCUACAGCAAAGUACAUUCCGUUCACGGGGCACACCCAGGGGAAUAAGAAUAAAAUGCUAUUAUGGCUAAGUUGUAAACCUAUGCACAUCCCUUGCAUUUCGGGCAACUUUAUAAAAAAAAACUGAUUUUUAUUAAUAAUAAUCAUAUAGUGAAAUGUGUUUGUAAUUUUGUCUCAAUUUAAUUUGUUGUAAGGUGGGAGGGGGAGUUGCUGGUUUCACCAUUUCAGAUCUGUGUUGUCUGAGAGUAUUAACGUUUUAAUUAAGCAAAGAAAUGAGGAUUUUUAAUAUGUAUGUAAUUGUUUUAAAGCACCCAUUUUAAGAGAAUAUACUGUGCAAUGAAGAAACCAGUUUAGGCAUUUGCUAUAAACUGAAUUAUUCCAAAAGAAUAAUCUAUAACAGCCCUGUAAAUUCCUUUAAAAUGAUAACUAACAGGACAGUUUGACCAAUUUUUUUUUUAAAUAUACUUCCUUUUAUGUGUUCAAUAAUUAAA